CUAUCUUAUUUUAAUAAACAACACUGUCAUAUGCAAAACUAGGGUGGCACUUGGGGAGGCAAGAGAUCAUUUCAAGGUGGCACUUGCCACCCCAUGCCAUCCUUCUAGAUCCGCCCCUGUCUGAUAUAGGUCAUGGCAAGCCUUCUGUUUGACCCAAAUGUGACCUCCUGCCCGUAUGAGCUGGACCUGUGGCUGACAUGAGGUAGCCAGACUCUAACUCAAGGUCCAGUAUGGCCCACUGGAGUAUUUAGUAUCUGUAUAUGCAAAAUUAGAUUAGUGUCGCUAUUUCAGACUUUUUCAUUAAAAAUAAUAAUAAUAGUAGCCUGGCUUUAAUGAAAAUGUAAAAUCUAUAAGAUUCUAAAUAUGGCCUGUAGGUUUUUUCGUCACUAUAGGGUUUAAAGUUACAACAGAUUGUCUUGUAAAACAAGAUUGCCUUCUUUGCCUUCUUUCUAUGCACUCUAACAACACAAUUUCAACUUUAUUUUGCCAGUUUUAUUUUAAUACCAUCAGGUACACCCCCACCACCCACCUCAGCUUCAGUUUGUAGAAUGUACUGUAACAGCAGAGCUGGUGUAAGCUGGCUGACGAGUCUGUUGACUACUGGUUUCCCCUCAGGUCAGAGGAUAAUCAGGAAAGGUGCAAUCAGCAAUGUUUAUUUCACACACCAGGAAAGCACUAACACAAAGCCAUGCACUCUUAUCGCUGCCCAGUCAAUUUAAAGAAUUACAAUCAGGACAAAGAGACAUACCACACUCCUUUGCUCUGCUGUGUUUUCCUCCUGGGGUCUGAGCUCCAAGACAGAGAUAAAGGAAGAGAGUAAUUAGCAAACACAAACCACCUGUGCAUAUCAGACUCUCCCUCCAUGGCCCCAUUACCUGAACCAUUCCCAGCAACUCCCCCCUCCACAGCUGAGCUCUAACCAGGCCCUGAUUACAUUAGAUUUCACAGGUUACAUGUCCAGUGACUGCAGCUUCUCCUCAUUGUUCUUCAUAACCAACCUUCCCUUAAGUCUAGAUCCAGCUGCAGUUCAGGAUAAUACUCUGCUUCUGUCAGCUAGUAAACAGACCAGAAUUAAAAGUACAAGGUGCUGUGAUGAAGAUGUGGCAGCCCUUCAGGGACAUAUCUGCACCUUUUCAAAGGGGACAUUAUCUCGUAGCAAAGCACCGAAGCUUCUUUAUUCUUACUGGGGACAAAAUUGUUCUUUCAGAUGUACAAAGUAAAAUAUAUUAAAAAAAAUAAACCCCUGCUGAGUGCACAGGCUAGCCAUAGUGACAGGGAUCAUUUGUACUAAGGGUCUGUGUCUGAAUGUACUGCAUAUAUUGGUUACUUAGCAGCAUGGCAUGGUGCAGUAGUAAGUAACAUGUGUUGGUAAUUAACAGUUUAGUUUGUGAUCAUUUAAGGAUGUUUUUCUUCCUCUCGUGAAUAUUUCAGUUGUUUGCUGUGUUUUGUUACAGAGUAACUUCUCACAGAGUCAUGCUUAUCAAAUCCAAACCACUAAUCACAAUCACGCUCUCGUGGUAAAUGCACAAUCGUUAUCGCAAAAAAGAUGCUCAACAGCUGAUUUGCAGAAUGUCCAAUUUUGUGUCAAUCAAAGAUUUUAAAAUCAGCCGUAUCCAGAUUUAUAUCAAUUAUAUUAAAUAUUAUCUAGGUCUGGCCCAUGAAAUCAUGGACAAGGUGUCACUGGCCCUCGACAGAUUAUGAAUUGGGAUGUUUGUUCUGGUCCCUAAUCGCUGGAAUGAACUGAGAUCUUUGAUUACUUAGAAUAAAGAUGUUUUUAUAUAUGGAUUUACCAAAACAUCCAAAUAUGCAGUCACAUUUUAGCUUUCAUUAUGAGCUGUGUGAGUCAUCCUCUUCUUUCAAUUUCACCUUUUAGGCGUCACCACAUCAGAUCAUCUGCCUUCAUCUCACCCCAUCCCUGCCAUCCUCUUCUGUCACAUCUACCCUCUGCUCUGUCCACACUGCUGUUCUGCACAGGCCUGAACCUGGUAUCAGACUGAAUGUGUGUAAAUGAGGGCAUAUUUAAUUAGAUGAUUUGAAUACUUAAAAAUGGUAAGGGAGGAAAAUUAAAAAAAUAACUUAAGGAAAAUAAUCGACGGGGGAAGUUUAAUGGUGACGUCUAAUAGUUAUGACUUUUUACCCCGUUCACCUGGGGUCUCGCCUCAGACUCUCCGGUUUCUAUGAGUAGUCAAGAGAUGCAUAAUAAUAAACCUUUUUAACAAGUUCAGUAGGUGGAUCCCGACAGGCAGUCUCAGGUUUCGCUUGUCUUCACACCUAAACAACUUACACUCUUAAAAGUCAGCCUCAGUUUUACCUUGGAGCCUGUUUCACCAACUGUUCCUCCAUAUUUAUGAGGUGUAAGAACAAGAAGUCUCAGCCUGAGCCAUGAAACAAAGUUCUUAAGUAAACUGCUGCCAUCCCAGCUUGGGUACUCUCGAACCUCUGAUGCAGAUCGCUUGCUGUAGGGCAUGUUUCACAGCACUGUGUGAUAUUCUCAGAUUCUGAAGACAUGUCUGAUACAGAAUAUAAUAAAAUACAUCUCCUGAAGGGCUGUUUGUUCUGUAUGUGUGGGUCAGG
RNAcentral lists this long non-coding RNA (2574 nucleotides) under Oreochromis niloticus (Nile tilapia). RNAcentral's name for it is "lncRNA (ENSONIG00000033046.1)". The record is from RNAcentral. Lineage: Eukaryota; Metazoa; Chordata; Actinopteri; Cichliformes; Cichlidae.